This 68-nucleotide transfer RNA is filed under the name Prismosticta regalis. Its description in RNAcentral is "tRNA-Leu". The record is from RNAcentral. Lineage: Eukaryota; Metazoa; Arthropoda; Insecta; Lepidoptera; Endromidae.
ACUAUUUUGGCAGAAAACAUGUAGUGGUUUUAGAAAUCAUAAAUAUAUAAUAAAUUAUAUAUGUAGUA